CCAGAAGAUAUUCCACAUUAUGUACUUCAUGGGUGCCAAUAAUGAGCUGACUUCCACUAGGGACGAUGCAGUUGCCUCAGUCACUGGCUGCCCCUCUCCAGUGACUGCACUCCCUUUCCCAACCUCUGCCUCUUCAAACAACCAACAGCUCGAUGCCCAGCCUGGCCACAGUGGAAGCAAUGAGACCAGGACAUAUUUCCCUAUUGUACACAUUGUGCACAAUGGCCUUUGGAAUCAGCCCUGUCCGUAUGUGAACUCACAAGUGGGAGUUGCGUAUCUUGGGGAAUGUCACUAUCUGGUUUUGUGCAUUGCAACAACGUCAUGACUGCCGAGAGAGAAAGAGAGGGAGGACGUCUUGUUGGACAUGUGGAGAUGUUGAAGUGAGCUUCACAAAAUGUUAAU
Mugil cephalus (flathead mullet) is the source of this 402-nucleotide long non-coding RNA. RefSeq lists it as uncharacterized. Lineage: Eukaryota; Metazoa; Chordata; Actinopteri; Mugiliformes; Mugilidae. The transcript has 3 exons. The record is from RefSeq and is a predicted model, not a curated record.